UCCAGGAAGCGGUCCGGGAGUAUUAUCACUAUCCCGGUGGAAAGACAGAAGUGCAGGCUUCUGAUUUGGUCUUUCGGGUGAAAGACCAGUUUUCAUUUGAAAACCCCUUUGGAAGUUUGCAUUCAGGACUUGAGUGCCCACUGAGCACAAGGUAUCAAGAUGCAUUCCUCAAGGAGGGAGACCUUUUGUUUGGCUGAAAUGAGGGAAUUACAGGUGGAAGAAGGCC
This is a non-coding RNA of Microcebus murinus (gray mouse lemur), 226 nucleotides long. NCBI's taxonomy places the organism in Eukaryota, Metazoa, Chordata, Mammalia, Primates, Cheirogaleidae. The record is from RefSeq and is a predicted model, not a curated record.